Molecule: ribosomal RNA, 458 nt
Filed under: uncultured bacterium
Lineage: Bacteria
Description: partial 16S ribosomal RNA
Rfam family: Bacterial small subunit ribosomal RNA
Source: RNAcentral
GAUAAACGCUGGCGGCGUGCAUGAGACAUGCAAGUCGAACGAAGGAUCGGGCUUGCUCGAUCCUUAGUGGCGGACGGCUGAGUAACGCGUAGGUGACCUACCCCGACUUGGGGCAUAACUGCCCGAAAGGGUGGCUAAUACCGCAUGUGGUCGCACGUUCAUUCGUGCGAGUACAGCCGCAAGGCGCUUCGGGAGGGGCCUGCGUCCGAUUAGCUCGUUGGUGGGGUAAUGGCUUACCAAGGCGACGAUCGGUAGGUGGUCUGAGAGGACGAUCACCCAGACUGGGACUGAGACACGGCCCAGACUCCUACGGGAGGCAGCAGUCGGGAAUUUUGCUCAAUGGGGGAAACCCUGAAGCAGCAACGCCGCGUGAGGGAUGAAGGCCUUCGGGUUGUAAACCUCUUUUGUCAGGGACGAUGAUGACGGUACCUGGAGAAUAAGCCACGGCUAACUACGUG